Molecule: ribosomal RNA, 468 nt
Filed under: uncultured bacterium
Lineage: Bacteria
Description: partial 16S ribosomal RNA
Rfam family: Bacterial small subunit ribosomal RNA
Source: RNAcentral
GACGAACGCUGGCGGCGUGCUUAACACAUGCAAGUCGAACGGAAAGGCCCUGCUUUUGUGGGGUGCUCGAGUGGCGAACGGGUGAGUAACACGUGAGUAACCUGCCCUUGACUUUGGGAUAACUUCAGGAAACUGGGGCUAAUACCGGAUAGGAGCUCCUGCUGCAUGGUGGGGGUUGGAAAGUUUCGGCGGUUGGGGAUGGACUCGCGGCUUAUCAGCUUGUUGGUGGGGUAGUGGCUUACCAAGGCUUUGACGGGUAGCCGGCCUGAGAGGGUGACCGGCCACAUUGGGACUGAGGUACGGCCCAGACUCCUACGGGCGGCAGCAGUGGGGAAUAUUGCACAAUGGGCGGAAGCCUGAUGCAGCAACGCCGCGUGCGGGAUGACGGCCUUCGGGUUGUAAACCGCUUUCGCCUGUGACGAAGCGUGAGUGACGGUAAUGGGUAAAGAAGCACCGGCUAACUACGUG